CCAGUAUGGAAAUUGGGCUUAUGGGCUAGUGUAGAAACUGGGCUUAGGGGCCAGACGAAAUUGGGCUUAUGGGUCAUUGUGAAACUGGACUUAAGGGCUAGUGUGGAACCUGGGCUUAGGGGCCAGGUAAAACUGGGCUUAGGGGCCAGUAUGAAAAUUGGGCUUAUGGGUGUUGAGACUUUGGCAAGCGUACCAAGUCGUGCAAGUAGUAAAACCGGUAAGACUGGAUAUC
Molecule: long non-coding RNA, 232 nt
Filed under: Vigna radiata
Lineage: Eukaryota; Viridiplantae; Streptophyta; Magnoliopsida; Fabales; Fabaceae
Description: long non-coding RNA (VRAD_LNC010573)
Source: RNAcentral